RNAcentral lists this ribosomal RNA (651 nucleotides) under uncultured Methanocorpusculum sp. RNAcentral describes it as "bacterial SSU rRNA". It matches the Rfam family "Archaeal small subunit ribosomal RNA", at positions 17 to 675 of the family's 1478-position model. The record is from RNAcentral. Lineage: Archaea; Methanobacteriati; Methanobacteriota; Methanomicrobia; Methanomicrobiales; Methanocorpusculaceae.
CCAGAGGCCAUUGCUAUCAGGGUUUGACUAAGCCAUGCGAGUCGAGAGGUGUAAGACCUCGGCAUACUGCUCAGUAACACGUGGUUAACCUGCCCUAAGGUGGAGAAUACUCCCGGGAAACUGGGGCUAAUGCUCCAUAGUGGAUAUGUCCUGGAAUGGUAUAUCCUCGAAAGAUCCGUCGCCUUAGGAUGGGACUGCGUCCGAUUAGGUUGUUGGCGGGGUAACGGCCCACCAAGCCUUUUAUCGGUACGGGUUGUGGGAGCAAGAUCCCGGAGAUGGAUUCUGAGACAUGAAUCCAGGCCCUACGGGGCGCAGCAGGCGCGCAAACUUUACAAUGCGAGCAAUCGUGAUAAGGAAACCCUGAGUGCCUGUCGAUGCAGGCUGUUCAUAUAUCUAAAUCAUAUGUGAAGAAAGGGCAGGGCAAGACCGGUGCCAGCCGCCGCGGUAAUACCGGCUGCUCGAGUGAUGGCCACUAUUACUGGGUUUAAAGCGUCCGUAGCUUGACUGUUAGGUCUCUUGGGAAAUCUUCGCGCUCAACGUGAAGGCGUCUAAGAGAUACCGGCAGUCUUGGAACUGGGAGAGGUAAACCGUACUUCGGGGGGUAGGAGUGAAAUCUUGUAAUCCUCGAGGGACGACCUAUGGCGAAGGCAG